RNAcentral lists this ribosomal RNA (460 nucleotides) under uncultured bacterium. RNAcentral describes it as "partial 16S ribosomal RNA". It matches the Rfam family "Bacterial small subunit ribosomal RNA", at positions 338 to 795 of the family's 1533-position model. The record is from RNAcentral.
CCUACGGGGGGCAGCAGUGAGGAAUAUUGGUCAAUGGCCGGAAGGCUGAACCAGCCAUGCCGCGUGAAGGUCAGUGCCCUAUGGGCGUUAAACUUCUUUUGUGCGGGAGCAAUAAUGGUCACGUGUGGCCAGACGAGAGUACCGUACGAAUAAGCAUCGGCUAACUCCGUGCCAGCAGCCGCGGUAAUACGGGGGAUGCAAGCGUUAUCCGGAUUUAUUGGGUUUAACGGGUGCGUAGGCUGUGAGGUAAGUCAGCGGUGAAAUGCCCCCGCUCAACGGGGUGAAGUGCCAUUGAUACUGCCUGGCUGGAAUGCGGAUGCCGUGGGAGGAAUGUGUGGUGUAGCGGUGAAAUGCAUAGAUAUCACACAGAACACCGAUUGCGAAGGCAUCUCACGAAUCCGCGAUUGACGCUGAUGCACGAAAGCGUGGGUAUCAAACAGGAUUAGAUACCCGGGUAGUC